UUCUUUGUUAUCGAUGUUCACGCAUGCGCAAAAUAUAUAUGAUUUAGAAUCCAAUCAUUGGAAUGGCGAACUGACGUAAACAGUAUUAUUAAACUUUUUUAAUUAUAUAUAUUUCAAUUAUAAUUAUUUAUUAUUCUCUUAAUUAUUAAUAUUUGCAUUUCAAUUUCUUUCACUGAUUUGACAGUUUUAAAUAUUUUUAAUUAUUAUGAAUAUUGAAGAAAAGAAAAGCUAUAAUUGUUAUAUAAAAAGACUUUAAUUAUUCUGUAACGUGUGAAUUAUAAUCUCUAGAAGUAUAAUAAAAAGAUAUUAUUUCCAAUGUA
Molecule: long non-coding RNA, 320 nt
Organism: Apis dorsata (giant honeybee)
Lineage: Eukaryota; Metazoa; Arthropoda; Insecta; Hymenoptera; Apidae
Exons: 2
Source: RefSeq, a predicted model, not a curated record